AAGAAAGAAUGGUGGAUUUGCAAGGCAGCUCAGCAGGUUGAGCCAUGAGUUCAGGUAUCUGGAAGCAAUAAGACAAGAAUGUUUGGAAAAAAUGCAUCAGAAAGGAUAGUGUUUUUGCCAUCCUCUUUGUUUGAAUCGAGAAGGAAGAGAUAUUAACAGAGGAAGCUAGAGUUUGCUGGACUGAGAUAGAGCUGGUUGAAUCUUGCCGUCUUCCUCAGGUUGAAGUUACAACAGAGUCAAACAUCAACGCUCACAUCAAUUCAGAUUCUGAGGGUAAAGGUGGUAUACACACUGCUUUCCACACUGAAUUCUGAGAAGGCACAUCAUCCCAGACAAAACUAUGAUUACAAGACAAGUGAUCUUCCCUGACUCAGCAGCAAAAAAUUCUGAAGUACACCCAAUUGGAGUUUGGAAAUUAGCAAAGAGAAUCCAAACACUGCAGAGAGUAUCUAGAAGUCUUCUAAUAAGCAGUCUAGAACAAGUGCUUAGAAGACAGAGGGUAGUGAUCUCAGCAGAUGUUCAUAUGGAAGGGUGAUAAUAGCCAAGAACCACGACUCUCUAAUUUUACUUCCCAGCAGGUAUUCAGUGCAUAAUAGUUCCUACUUAGAAGUAUCAUAUUUGCCCAAACACAAGGUGAUACCCAAAAUGAGGUAAGUUUCCUGUUUUCUCAGUGAGAUCUUUUGUUGUUGUUGUUGUUGUUGUUGUUUUGUUGUCGAUGUUGUUGUUUUUGGUUUUGGUCUUUUUGUUUUUGAGACAGGGUCUGGCUCUGUCACCCAGGCUGGAGUGCAGUGGCACAAUCUUGGCCCUUUGCAGCCACCACCUCCUAGGGUCAAGGGAUCCUCCCACCUCAGCCCCCAUAUUAGCUGGCACUACAGGCAUGCACCACCAUGCCCAGCUAAUUUUUGUAUUUUUUGUAGAGAUGGGGUUUCAACAUGUGUCAAACUCCUGAGUUCAAAUGAUCCACCUACCUCAGCCUCCCAAAGUUCUGGGAUUAUAGGCCUAAGCCACAGUGCCAGUGAGAUAAUUUUUUUAAAAUGCAUUCUGGUCAGUUUGAACAUGUAAAUAUAAAUUUUUAUGGAUAUACAAAAAAGAACUACUAAAUAUUCACUUAUAACAAAGAUUAAUUCAUGAAUUACACAUGCACAUUUAUAAUCACAUGUCAUAAUUUUCCAUUCUCAUAUUUCACUAAACUGUAUAUCCAAUUCUUUAUUCACUUUAUUCACUGCCCUGAAUGACCAUCUGUGGAAGUCCUACCAGGUGCUAUCUACUCUGUAUGGGAUUUCUCAUUUACCCCACAGAAGAGGUUUCUAAGAAAAGCAUUAUGAGUUCCCUUUCACAGAUGACCAAGGGUAGGCUGACAAAGGCUGAAAAGGGGUUCCAAUGUCAGAUGAAAUAAGGGGUAGGAAUGAGAUUCCGGUUCUGACUGUCAGCACAAUAUGCCAUUUAAUCUCAAUAGGAACAGUAUUACCCACAAGGGGCUAAAACUUGUUCUAGGAUAGUAGAAGAGGGGGAGUAGACAUUAUAAUAGUUUGUGGCCCUGCAAAGAUUCACAAUACAUAAACAAAUAGACACUAUAUUUGUGGUAUUAAAAUGUCAAGUUCUGGGCAGAAAGAGAUCGAUAAGGAAAAAUGUCUGAAAAGCCUCUUCAGAGGACCAAUAAUGAAAGAAGUCUGAGAAACACUGCAUUUACCCAGGGACUUCUGCUGACGAUGCCUCAUCGAGUAACGAACUCUGGUGGCACAUUACCAUUUCUGAGGUCUAAUACUGCAUUCCACAUCACAUCACUCUCACUUCCAUCUCAGGUUCUUGAAAUGUGCAUAUUUUGAAUCUUGUGCAACAAGAUAUAGCAAGCUCCAAGUGGUACUGGAGCUCAUAUAUCAAGUUCCUUCUGUAAAACUUUAGAAUAGUUGCUUUUCUUCUAUCUGCAAUUAGUGUACAUUUUUGGUCUCUUCAACAUAACCACUUAUGCAUUUUCAUUUUAAAGAUUUUUUUAAAGCUUACUUACUAUAAGCAUUAACUCACAAUUAUGAAGUAAUACCCCCAUGAAACUAAGAUAAAUCUGUGUUAAAUUUAUUUGCCCAUUUUUUUAAUCAACUGUCAGGCGACCUCCAUAAACAUCCGGAUUGUUACUUUCAGGCUUAUGUGUCUCUGCAAAAUUAGUAACAGAAGCGGGGAGGGCGGGGAGAGAGAGAAAGAGAGAAUGAGGGGAUGAGAGAGAGGGAGACAGAGAGACGCUCUCCAUAAUAUAAAGGAAUUUGUGAGGAAUGCAAAGUAGGAUAAGUCCCAUUUUUCUGAGCAUAAGAGUAAAGAAAAAAAUCUGCCUUGUAUUUGGGCACAUAUAAUGAUGUCUUCUCUCCACCAGUCAUGUAUAAAAAUGGGCAAAGGAAUGAAGAAAAGAUAAAAUAUUAAAUUUGAGUCAUUUUUUAAGUCUGAACUGAAGAGGAAUCACUAAUUUUUCUCAGAAGUCACUAAAUUAAAUAUUUUGCUAUUAGGCAAAGUAGAGGCUUUAUAUACAAAUUAUGACACUAUGGAAAAAUGUUACAUUUUUCACAAAUGAGUGUAUGGUUGUAAAAUCUGUCACUAUAUAUACUGGAGUGAUUAUAAUAAAGAAAUUAAUAAUAUUU
This 2624-nucleotide long non-coding RNA is filed under the name Homo sapiens (human). RNAcentral's name for it is "HSALNT0038415". Lineage: Eukaryota; Metazoa; Chordata; Mammalia; Primates; Hominidae. The record is from RNAcentral.